Small nucleolar RNA from Rosa chinensis, 152 nucleotides. RefSeq annotates it as small nucleolar RNA snoR135. The transcript has a single exon. The record is from RefSeq and is a predicted model, not a curated record. NCBI's taxonomy places the organism in Eukaryota, Viridiplantae, Streptophyta, Magnoliopsida, Rosales, Rosaceae.
AUAACAUGGAUUAUGUGUAUGGGCGUAGUGCUAUAAGCAAUGAACAUUGAUCCUAGAGAAAUCUAUGCAAUAUUGAUUUGCGAGAGAUGUGUGCAGUUAGUUGAUUUCAUUUUAACCUAUCAAAAGUUUCAACAAUCAUCGAUCUCAUCCUU